GAAAAAAAUACAACAACAAACACUGUCUGGUAUCACUUCCUCAGGAGUUGGGCCUACAGUGGUCUCAUGCCCUCCGCCACCCUGUUCCGUCCCGCAGCACGUGGGGCACGAACCCGGGUCUCCGGCGUAACGCAACAGGGAACCAGCUGCAUGAGCUAAAGGAAACCCAGGCAGCUGAGGCAGCUGAGGUCCCUGCUACGCGCAGUGAGGGCGAUGACGUCACCGUAUCCGAACUAGCUCCGCUACACCCUCCCCUGCUGAUUUCGCCUCGGCAAAGGACACCCAUCCGGGUCACAGCACCAGUUUUAUGUAACAGACAGCUUCCUCUGCGUUGUGUCAAAUGAACACCCAGGGACGCCAGGUAGAGGUCUGCGAUUUUAUUUCCUUAUAGAACAUAAAACACGUGGGUGUUACACACGCUAAAUGUCUCUCUCUUAAUCUUACACUGAUAAAGUGUAAGUGUAAAGUGUAAAGUUAUAUCUCAUCUUGCUCCCUCCUUGACUUUGUGAUUUUUGUUCUCUCUGGUGUUACUUUACUAAAAGGCUCAGACAACACACUUGAACAAAAGACAGUCUCAGAUGGAACCAUGUGUCAAUUCUGAUACUGGCAUUACUACAGCCUACAUAGUUGAGUUUCCUCCCAUUCACAUGGCUGCUUUCAAAUUGUGUAAAUAAUUGCUGGAAAGUUUAAUGGAGGUUUUAUGAAAGCUAUCUGCCACAUGUUUCAAAUAAAAAUACAAUUUUUACAAUAUGCAGGUGUACAAUAGAGAAUGUGACAAAAGGAAUGAGUUUUUAAGUAACUAUAAUAUUAAUUACUUCCGUUUAAAAUGUAAUGAUAUUACGUCAGGAUUGAAAAAAGUAAUAAACAUUUUAGUAGUACACUGUUAAGUAACUCCAAACUGUAUAAGUUUAAAUAAACAUUACUUUUAUGGCAGCUGUGAA
RNAcentral lists this long non-coding RNA (941 nucleotides) under Lepisosteus oculatus (spotted gar). Its description in RNAcentral is "lncRNA (ENSLOCG00000021592.1)". Lineage: Eukaryota; Metazoa; Chordata; Actinopteri; Semionotiformes; Lepisosteidae. The record is from RNAcentral.